This is a non-coding RNA of Cordylochernes scorpioides, 70 nucleotides long. The record is from the annotation of a GenBank genome assembly. NCBI's taxonomy places the organism in Eukaryota, Metazoa, Arthropoda, Arachnida, Pseudoscorpiones, Chernetidae.
GCAUCGGUGGUUCAGUGGUAGAAUGCUCGCCGGUACGCGGGCGGCCCGGGUUCUAUUCCCGGCCGAAGCA